This 562-nucleotide ribosomal RNA is filed under the name uncultured Bifidobacterium sp. Its description in RNAcentral is "bacterial SSU rRNA". It matches the Rfam family "Bacterial small subunit ribosomal RNA", at positions 147 to 710 of the family's 1533-position model. Lineage: Bacteria; Bacillati; Actinomycetota; Actinomycetes; Bifidobacteriales; Bifidobacteriaceae. The record is from RNAcentral.
CUCCUGGAAACGGGUGGUAAUGCCGGAUGUUCCACAUGAGCGCAUGCGAGUGUGGGAAAGGCUUUUUGCGGCAUGGGAUGGGGUCGCGUCCUAUCAGCUUGUUGGUGGGGUAACGGCCUACCAAGGCGUUGACGGGUAGCCGGCCUGAGAGGGCGACCGGCCACAUUGGGACUGAGAUACGGCCCAGACUCCUACGGGAGGCAGCAGUGGGGAAUAUUGCACAAUGGGCGCAAGCCUGAUGCAGCGACGCCGCGUGCGGGAUGGAGGCCUUCGGGUUGUAAACCGCUUUUGUUCAAGGGCAAGGCACGGUUUCGGCCGUGUUGAGUGGAUUGUUCGAAUAAGCACCGGCUAACUACGUGCCAGCAGCCGCGGUAAUACGUAGGGUGCAAGCGUUAUCCGGAUUUAUUGGGCGUAAAGGGCUCGUAGGCGGUUCGUCGCGUCCGGUGUGAAAGUCCAUCGCUUAACGGUGGAUCCGCGCCGGGUACGGGCGGGCUUGAGUGCGGUAGGGGAGACUGGAAUUCCUGGUGUAACGGUGGAAUGUGUAGAUAUCGGGAAGAACACC